CCGGGCUGUUUAGCAGCUGGUCUCACUGCUUAGGUUCCUAAAGCCUAGCUGUUACAGCGUCCUUGCUACAGAAAGAGAUCGUUGUCUGACCAGAGACAAAACUUACUUCUGUCUGGUAGCAGAGUACCUACAUUUGGCUUUCCAGAUCUCACCUCAGUUCCAGAUUCCUCUACAUUAAAAUCUUCGCCUGGGUUACAUCUUCUCUCAGGAUUGAAUAUCAACACUAUUGAAGACACCUCAUGUGACAUCACAAACAGCUUUCUUGGACUCUCCAGGGAGGUGGAGCAAGAUGGCUGAAUAGAAGCCUCCAGCAAUUGUCCCCCACUCACAGGAACACCAAAUUGAACAACUAUCCACACACAAAAAAAAGCACCUUCAUACAAAGAAAAAUCAGGCCUGGAACAGAUCAGCCUCCCUGCAGGAAUCAACUGAGAAAGAAUUAAUGACACUUUCGAAAGCUUUAAAUUCCAAUGAGAAAUUGAAGCCCUGGGAAUAUCUGCCUCAACAUUUUAUAGGGUGUAUGCCUGCAGUCAGUGAGAAGCACGAGGAUAUUCCGUUCCUUAAUUAUCCCUGCGCCAAAAGUGUGAAGCAAAUAAUUUUCUUCUUGAGAUAAUGUCACUAAGGAGGAGGCCUCAGCUUUCUUGAGAACUGUAAUUUUUCGAAUAGUUCUUUC
RNAcentral lists this long non-coding RNA (673 nucleotides) under Homo sapiens (human). RNAcentral describes it as "HSALNT0408469". Lineage: Eukaryota; Metazoa; Chordata; Mammalia; Primates; Hominidae. The record is from RNAcentral.